UUUAAUGAAAAUAUUCAUCAUUUAAUUCCUUGGAAUGAUGAUACAAACCGUGAAAGAAACUAAAAUAAAAGAAUGAUAAAAAACCCUAAAAAGAAGUUGUGUAGCCCCUAAUAUCUUCCAAGGAUGUAUAAAAGUUAGUAAAAAAACAUGAAUAAUGUCCUAUUUAUAGUGGAAGAAAUAGCCCAUGCCUUGUUGAACAAGGAAAUAGUUUCUGGUCGUCUGCGAACCCAGUGACACGCUGGUCACUGUUUUAGGUGCCUUAUAAAUCCAUUAAUGUGUUUCAUGUGCCAAGAAUCUUUCUCACACGUCCACACUCUCCCAAUACUUUUCAGGUAUCCAAAUUAGCAUUUAGCUGCAUUUUGUGCUUCCAUGAUCCAUUCCAAUCCUUUUGAGUUAUUUCCACUUAAUUUGAAGCUUGUAAUUCCUUCAUAUAUCAUCUUCCAUUAAAAAAGCACCCUAUAGAAUUAAACACAAAAAUUUAGAGCUCAAAAUAACACAACAUCCUCAACAAUGAACUAGAAACAUGAGCUAAUCAUAUGCUAAAUUCACAUUGAGGUUUAACUUAUGUUUUGACUCUUUUCUUGAUUCAAUUGACCCUUGAACAUUAUAAAUAAGUUUUUUCACAUAUAAAUAUGUAAUAACAACCUUAUUAACUCAGUGAAACACAUCAGAACCCAACACAAUAGACUAUAAAAAGACCUAGCUCAAGAUAGUUACACUAGUUUUCUCGGUUGAACUCUAAAUGCUCAAAUUGUAUCAAAACUUAUGUGAAUCAACCAUUAAAUAUUUUAAACACAUUCUUGGACAGAUAAAUGCUCGUUUAUAUUAUUUUUAAUGCAUAUAGCAUAAGAAUACCCCUCAAAAUAAGGCUAAAUAAGCCAGAAUAGUAGUGCUACAAUGCAUAAAUAUACCCAACAUCAUGUUGACACAAUCUCCUAUUUUGUUGAUUAAUACCUAUGAGUAAUAAAUUACAGACCUUUAUUAGUAUUAUCAUACCCAAAAGUAUGCUAUAUUGAUCAAAAAACUCAUGUGGUAGUGUUAUAGAAGGUUCUGGGGUGAUAAAUGGUUAUGAAGUAAUUUUGGUUUCUGGAAACAUUGAUCUUAGGUAUGGUGAUCGCGGUGCGACAAUCACGGUCAUCGAGACCAUGAUAACGGUAUUUGAGACCAUAGUCAACAUUCUGUAUAUCACUCACAACAAAUUAUUUAACUAUAACUUUAUGUUCUCACUAGGCAAAUAAACAUCAUAAUUAGAGAACUUAAGCCUAGGAUAUGUUAUAAUAGCCCCAAACUCAAAGAAUUCACAUUGAACUCAUUGUGGAAUUGAAUCAAACACAUGGUUUACAUGUCUAGGUCUACAAUUUUAGGCCUAAUACUUGGUACUCAUGACUUUCCCAUUGGUGUGUACACUAACUACAAUAGCUAAUCACUGCAAUUCUCAUAAUCAAAUAUGCCUUUUGUGUUAAAAAUAAUACUUUAGGGCUUUACCUAAUCUACAAGUUCUGAGCAUAAAAUUUUAUUAAAAAUAAGGGAAUUGAGACAACAUACCAUGUUUGAUGAUGCAUGUGGAUUGAAAUAACACUUGGAUACUCAACAUAAUGCCAAAAAUCUUGAGAGAAUUUAAGAGAAUUUAUAAAAGGAGUAUGUUAGGAAAUGGAAGUAGGAUAGUCAUUAAAGCUGAUUUAAUCAUGAUCGUGGUCCUAGUUUCGUGAUUAGAGAAACCUGACCACCGUCAUUGCAUUAGCAUAGACCACAAUCGCGGUAACUGACAAAAAAAUUUAGGUUCUCUACACUCCCUUGUUUAGGCUAAACAUGCCAAUUUCACACAUUCCAUUUUUCAACUUCAAUAUACAUUCGUCAUAGCUCCACCUUUUGAUGGAUUAUGCAUGAUCAAAUGAAAAAUAAAAUUAGAUCUAUCAUUCAUGAAUAAAAGGAUACAUACCAUUUAUUGUGGCGUGAUAGGGUGCCUCCCAUUGAGCACUUAGUUUAACGUCUUAGCACGAGGCCUCCUCUACUUGCUUUUAUGCUUCAACUUAGAAGAUUUAAAUCUCCGUCCGAACUUUCUUCGCUAGGAUAUGAGCGACAGUGGGAUGGAAGAUUCGGAUCUUCCAAGAUAAAACUUGGAAGAUGUGAAGAAAUGAUGAAAAAGUUUUGAUCUCACCAUUUUGAAUACUUGAACCUUUUACCCAAUUUAACAUUGACUUUUUGGUUUGGAUCCUUGGUUAAAAGUGAGGAUAUCAAUAGGACACUAGUUUCACAUCAGAAUUUUAAAUCAUUAGCCAUUGAUGGUAGGUCUUCUAUAUAAUGUUUUGGAGUGUCAAGAUAAUUCCUCAUCUUUUUUUCUCUUCAUGCUCUCAAAAUGGUGCAAAAAUGUUGACGGGAAUGAUGGAAAAUCUGGUGAAGAAAGGGGACUUAACAUCCAAAGUGGUUACUUGUCCUCUUGAGAAACUACCACUUAUGAUGUACAAGACCACUAAAGCAAUCCUAAAUAAGGGUAUGGGUACUGGUAACAUGGUCUUCUGUCCUCCAAAGUGGUGCCCCUCAAGUGACCCCGUUAUCGCUAAAGUUAUCCUUAGCCAAAUGGCAAAGCAGUGUAAAGCUACUCAUGGGCGCUAAAAUUCUUGUUGCAAAAUCGGCACCAUGACUUCUAAAGCUCUCACACUAGAUAUAAGGGACCAAAUUUUUGCUAUGUAAAAAAAUAAACUUUGAACAGGUGCUUGAGAUUCAUUCACAACCCUAUGUGAGGUAAUGAACUAUUCUACCAUACCAAAUUUGACUAUCUUGAGUCAAUAGAACCAUAAAAAAUUUCAUUUGAGGUCUUUUAGACUAAAUUUGGGCCUCACACCUAUAGUUCUAUUUUGCAUAUAAUCUAUCCAAAAUCCAAAAGUUAAGCCAAAAGCCUCAGGACCUAAGUAAAUGGUCCCUUUAAACUUAAAUCAAUAUUUUAAGGCUGAUGACACUGUCAAAAUUCUCAUUCAAAGUCACUUAUUAGGUGUUCUGGUCCGACACCAAUUCCACAAUAACGAAAGCUCCAAAAUAAGAAAGUGAUCCUGAAAUACAAAUUAAUAAUCUGAUAACCAAAUUGAUUAUUUCGACAUGUUUCAAAUAACCUUUAUUCACUGUGAGAAAGCUCAAACAUUGAAAAUGAAUUGGAAUUGAAGAAGUAACCUAGAGGGUCAUUACCUUGCUUAAGCAACACAUGGGGACUACUGAAUACCUUUCUCCACCAAAAAUUCCCAUUUGUUUUUCACUAUUUUUUGACUUUUGAGAGCCUAAAGAGAGGAAAAGGUGGAUUAUCAUCCAUUGAAGUUAAGGUAACUAGACUAACAUUCC
This 3330-nucleotide long non-coding RNA is filed under the name Capsicum annuum. RNAcentral describes it as "long non-coding RNA (CANN_LNC017174)". Lineage: Eukaryota; Viridiplantae; Streptophyta; Magnoliopsida; Solanales; Solanaceae. The record is from RNAcentral.